AGGGGUAUAGCUCAGUUGGUAGAGCGGCGGUCUCCAAAACCGCAGGUCGUGGGUUCGAACCCUACUGCCCCUGCCA
Molecule: transfer RNA, 76 nt
Filed under: Ditibartonella apis
Lineage: Bacteria; Pseudomonadati; Pseudomonadota; Alphaproteobacteria; Hyphomicrobiales; Bartonellaceae
Also listed under: 16 other names
Description: Bartonella apis transfer RNA
Rfam family: tRNA
About the family: Transfer RNA (tRNA) molecules are approximately 80 nucleotides in length. Their secondary structure includes four short double-helical elements and three loops (D, anti-codon, and T loops). Further hydrogen bonds mediate the characteristic L-shaped molecular structure. tRNAs have two regions of fundamental functional importance: the anti-codon, which is responsible for specific mRNA codon recognition, and the 3' end, to which the tRNAs corresponding amino acid is attached (by aminoacyl-tRNA synthetases). tRNAs cope with the degeneracy of the genetic code in two manners: having more than one tRNA (with a specific anti-codon) for a particular amino acid; and 'wobble' base-pairing, i.e. permitting non-standard base-pairing at the 3rd anti-codon position.
Source: RNAcentral